This 96-nucleotide ribosomal RNA is filed under the name Bacillus subtilis. The record is from RNAcentral. RNAcentral also lists the same sequence under 4 other names. Lineage: Bacteria; Bacillati; Bacillota; Bacilli; Caryophanales; Bacillaceae.
GGUCACACCCGUUCCCAUACCGAACACGGAAGUUAAGCUCUUCAGCGCCGAUGGUAGUCGGGGGUUUCCCCCUGUGAGAGUAGGACGCCGCCAAGC